Molecule: small nucleolar RNA, 216 nt
Organism: Hyaena hyaena (striped hyena)
Lineage: Eukaryota; Metazoa; Chordata; Mammalia; Carnivora; Hyaenidae
Source: RefSeq, a predicted model, not a curated record
CAUGAAAGACAGAGAUAGAAUGUUGUAUUCCUGGAUCCGGGAGUCCUUGGAUGUGCCACACACUGGGUUAAGCACUUUAAACUAGCGACAUAGCUGGCCUUGCCUCCAUUUCUGCUGCUGCAUCCAGUUCCUGGCAGUUGCCUGCAGGGGGAUGCACAGGUGGAGACCAAAGUGAGAGUAGGCAUGAACUAUGUGAGUACAACCUUGGAUCUGACA